RNAcentral lists this transfer RNA (68 nucleotides) under Marmota monax (woodchuck). RNAcentral describes it as "tRNA.Ala". The stretch from base 3 to 63 matches the Rfam family "tRNA", at positions 6 to 65 of the family's 71-position model. Rfam says of the family: Transfer RNA (tRNA) molecules are approximately 80 nucleotides in length. Their secondary structure includes four short double-helical elements and three loops (D, anti-codon, and T loops). The record is from RNAcentral. Lineage: Eukaryota; Metazoa; Chordata; Mammalia; Rodentia; Sciuridae.
GUUGUAGCUCAGUGGUUGAGAGCUUGCCUAGCAUGUAUGUGGCCCUGGGUUCCAUCCCCAGCACCACA